Molecule: long non-coding RNA, 3565 nt
Filed under: Mus musculus (house mouse)
Lineage: Eukaryota; Metazoa; Chordata; Mammalia; Rodentia; Muridae
Description: predicted gene 15991
Source: RNAcentral
AGAUGCAAUUCACCUCUUCUACGGAACUCCUACCCUGAGAGAAAAAUCUAAGAAACUGAAGUAUAAAACAGAUUUUUCACACAACGAAACAUAUUUGAGAGCAGUCUCUUAUAGCUGAGAGAGCCAGGGAAGAAGCUGCUGACGUACUCCUGUAUUUGCUGUCUCACUUCACCUCUGUCCAGACCCAGUUCAGCAGAAAUGGACAUUAUUCACCAUGGUUCCUGGUGACAAGGACAACACGUGUGGCUUGCAGUCUUCAGGUCAGACAGCACUUACUGGUCAGAGUUGUGGUCAUCUCCUGAUAGGCCUGCGAGAGAGAAACACCCAGACACAAAGGAACCCAUGGGGACGUGUGUGACUGUAAGUCUCUAAUUAUCCUUUCUAAUUCUGGAGCCAUGUGACUGGACUUCACAUAGCCUGCUGAACCCUGGGGGCCUGAGGCUCCCAACCUGGACCACUAAGGGAGGGGAUGCUGUUCUUUGCCCCUUCAUUAAAAUAUUGCAUUACAUAGCAGGGCUAGGUGAGCUAUUUCCUGCUGACCAACCGACUGGCAGCUUCACGCUCAGCAGUCAGAGCAUCCUGGAAGAAUUUAACUAUUCCUGUUCAAAUGGGAUCCAGGAUCUCAGCAGACUUUGUUGUCUCUAUAUAAUACUUUAAAAUACACGCAGUAUAAUAAGUACUCAAUGAUCCUUCCUAACUAAAUAUUGAAUAUGAGAGAUCAAGGGAAUUUUCUUCGUUGACGUAUAUAAGAAAGUAGCUACUAAAACUAAUUCAAAAACUGAAAGAGGAAAGGAAUUUUUACUACAAGAGACUACUCCCAAACAAUUACCCUCUCUCACACACACACACACACACACACACACACACACACACACACACACACACACCACUAACAGCAACAAAAACAGUAGCAGCCAAUUCAGCAUUUGGAACUAAGUUCUUGAAAAUAGAUAAAUUCAGACAUCUGUAGAAAGAAAUAAAAACAAAAGAGAAAUAAUCAUUCUAUAUAAAUACUAGGUAUAUAAAAUACCUAGAUGUGCAGGACAGUGAAAACACUUGUCUAAGGGUUAAGCAACUUGAAGUCAGGUAUAGGAUCUGUCACUACCAAGUCACAUGCCUUUGGGUAAUUCUACCAGCCAAACUAGGACACUGAUUUUGUUGUUGUUGUGGUGGUGGUUGGUGAUGGUGGUGGUGAUAGUGGUGGUGGUGGUAGUGGUGGUUGGUGGUGGUGGUGGUGGUGUGGUGAUGGCGGUGGUGGCGGCGGCAUUUAUAAAAAAAAAAGUUAUACAAGGUCCCUUUCAAGUUGUAAAGCUUUGUCUACUUAUGGCCACCUGUUACCUUGAGCCAACUCAAAGAACACUAAAAAGUGUUCCCCAUCAAACUGGUCUGUCCUAACCACUGGCAGUAUGCAUGGGAAGGAAGGAAUCGCCCUGUCUGGAGUCUUGCAGAGGACCAUCCUCUAAGAUAAUUCUUUUCUACACUGGGAUUCGAACUUUCUUGCCUUAGUCAGGUGACACAACUGAAAUCUUACUUCAAGAAAGUCCAACAGGAACCACUAUCUAAUCUGACAUGCUAAAACACUAGGAGUUACUCGAGUGUUGUAAUUUAGCUCUGUCCAUACUAAGGUUUGAGGUCUCUGCUGACUAAUUUUAUAUCAACCUAAUACAAGCUAGAGUUAUCUGAAAGGAGGAAACUUCAACUGAGACGAUGCCUUUGUAAGAUCUGGCUGUAAGGCAUUUUCUUAGUUACUGAUAGGGGAAGGCCUCGCUCAAUGUGGGUAGUGUUAUCCCUGGGCAGCGGUCCUGGGUUCUGUAAGAAAGCAGGCUGAGCAAACCAUGUUAAACAAGCCAGUAAGCAGCACCCAUCCAUGGCCUCUACAUCAGCCCCUACCUGUAGAUUCCUGCCCUGCUUGAUUUCCUGCCCUUGCUUUUGAUAAUGAGCUGUUGCUUGGAAUUAUAAGUGAAAUACACUCUUUCUUUCUUCUCUAAGUUGCUUUUAGCCAUGUUGUUUCAUCACAGAAAUACUAACCCUAACUAAGACAGAGCCAAUACUGCCAGGUGAUUGAUUACUUCUUCAAUGUCUAGGCACAGAAGUACAAAGGAGUAAAGUUUUCCAUCUAGUAUGUUCUAGGCUGCCUACUGUCUCUAGAUUCUCACCUUCACUGACAUACCUCUCCUGUGACUUCUGAGGGAAAAUGUCACAGCCCAAACCACCUUAACUCUUAACCUGAUUUUGUAUACAACAUAAACAACUUCUAUAUGCCCCAGAAAGUUGGGUUAGAAGCACACUGGAUUCUUUUACAUACAUAUUCUACAGCUUUUUACCAAAAUUUGCAGUCACAAGAAAUUAUAAUAAAACAGACUAAAAUGGUAUUCCCUAUUGAAAGACAGACACUUUCUCCAGAACAAUCCAGCCAGGGACACUUCAGGAACACUCAGCUCAUGGCCACACUCCUUUUCUAGAAAUGCUUGCUCUCAAGAACCUCCCUUUCUUGGGAUUGUCUUCUCUCAGCAACACAUCCCUGGAUACAGCCUUCUCUCAUGGGUGCCCCCCUUAGGCACCCCUCUUCACGAUACAGAAUAUCUAACAUGGACUUGGCAGGCAGACCCUGCUAGGUGCUUUCAGCUACAUUAACCCUUUAAUUCUCAUGGCUAUACAGUACAUAGAGCAUCAUUAUCCCCAUUUUGAAAAUAAAAUUAAACCAGGUUUCAGAGUGAAUAAAUAAAUAUAUCAGACCAAAACUGUUUUCUCUGAGACCUUGUAUGAUCUUUCAUCGUCUCACUGUGAACCAAGUUAUCUAUCACUACCUGUUCACAGGGAAGCAUCUACAGUAUUGAGAUGUUUUGGUUCUCAAUUAUGGACCUCCAAAGGACCAUAAAACUAUGCUGUUUCCAGGAAAUUCCAACACAGGACGGGCUGUUAGAAGAGACAGCAUUACUGAAAACCUUUAAUGUUAACAUAAUUUUAAAGAAAAAAAAAACAGUGACAUUUUUCAUCUACCUUCAAAAUACUGUAUCCUCAUUUAACCUUCCCUCCACCACCAUCUCCAGAUAUAUAUAGAAAACACAUUUCAAAACUAAAUUCAUAAAACUUACACGGUUUAUCAGUCCCUUCCUGCUGACAGAGAUGCUAAAUGGCAGGCAGAUGAAGUAAGGAGACAGGCAAGAGCAGAUGCAAUGACAGAGAGCCUUAGUAGAGACACAGUGUAGCCAGAUGAGAGCUGUGGAAUACGUACCCUACCUAAGCUGUCAUUUAAUCUCAAGAUGGAUGUCAAUGGUAAAACAGAGAGAAAACACCUUGCCAAUGCAAAGCUAAAGGCUCUCUCUAGAGCCCACAGCAUCAGAGUAAACAACUACUCAUUACAACUAUAUGCUCAGUAUCUAGACACAUAGAGUAACCCAAGACAUGCCCAGCGCUUGCCAGUCCAACAAGCCACUAGAGUACAGUUGCUGUUCUCUUGAAUCCCAAGCCUUCGUUUACUGACAUCUUCUGCUUUCAUUCACAGAAACUGGCCAAAUUCAUUUAAAACAUACCCUACACUUAGAUUUCCCAAAGAGAGAAUACC